Molecule: small nucleolar RNA, 106 nt
Filed under: Echinops telfairi (small Madagascar hedgehog)
Lineage: Eukaryota; Metazoa; Chordata; Mammalia; Afrosoricida; Tenrecidae
Description: Small nucleolar RNA SNORA61 (ENSETEG00000022648.1)
Rfam family: Small nucleolar RNA SNORA61
About the family: ACA61 is a member of the H/ACA class of snoRNA that guide the sites of modification of uridines to pseudouridines.
Source: RNAcentral
ACCCUCUAGAUCCCUUAUCCAUCAGACCUAAACACUGGUCUGCGUGGUUAUAAAAGGAGGAAAAGUAAAAUUGAAACAAAGUUAAAUUCUUUUGUGACACACCAGC